Molecule: ribosomal RNA, 456 nt
Filed under: uncultured Sphingobacteriales bacterium
Lineage: Bacteria; Pseudomonadati; Bacteroidota; Sphingobacteriia; Sphingobacteriales
Description: bacterial SSU rRNA
Rfam family: Bacterial small subunit ribosomal RNA
Source: RNAcentral
CACAAGCGGAGGAACAUGUGGUUUAAUUCGAUGAUACGCGAGGAACCUUACCUGGGCUUAAAUGGGGAGUGACAGCUGUCGAAAGAUGGUUUUCUUCGGACACUCUUCAAGGUGCUGCAUGGUUGUCGUCAGCUCGUGCCGUGAGGUGUCGGGUUAAGUCCCAUAACGAGCGCAACCCUUACCGUUAGUUACCAUCAGGUUAAGCUGGGGACUCUAGCGGGACUGCCACCGUAAGGUGAGAGGAAGGUGGGGAUGACGUCAAAUCAGCACGGCCCUUAUGUCCAGGGCUACACACGUGUUACAAUGGCCAGUACAAAGGGCAGCUACCGGGUGACCGGAUGCUAAUCUCUAAAGCUGGUCUCAGUUCGGAUCGAAGUCUGCAACCCGACUUCGUGAAGCUGGAUUCGCUAGUAAUCGCGCAUCAGCCAUGGCGCGGUGAAUACGUUCCCGGGCCUU